AGCGAACGCUGGCGGCAGGCCUAACUCAUGCAAGUCGAACGAACCUUUCGGGGUUAGUGGCGGACGGGUGAGUAACACGUGGGAACGUGCCUUUAGGUUCGGAAUAACUCAGGGAAACUUGUGCUAAUACCGAAUGUGCCCUUCGGGGGAAAGAUUUAUCGCCUUUAGAGCGGCCCGCGUCUGAUUAGCUAGUUGGUUGAGGUAAUGGCUCACCAAGGCGACGAUCAGUAGCUGGUCUGAGAGGAUGAUCAGCCACAUUGGGACUGAGACACGGCCCAAACUCCUACGGGAGGCAGCAGUGGGGAAUCUUGCGCAAUGGGCGAAAGCCUGACGCAGCCAUGCCGCGUGAAUGAUGAAGGUCUUAGGAUUGUAAAAUUCUUUCACCGGGGACGAUAAUGACGGUACCCGGAGAAGAAGCCCCGGCUAACUUCGU
RNAcentral lists this ribosomal RNA (433 nucleotides) under uncultured bacterium. RNAcentral describes it as "partial 16S ribosomal RNA". It matches the Rfam family "Bacterial small subunit ribosomal RNA", at positions 29 to 506 of the family's 1533-position model. The record is from RNAcentral.